UACAUUUUAGUGUAUGAUGCACCGAAAUCUUUGAAGUUUCUAGGAAUAGUUUAAUUCUAUUAAGUGUAA
Molecule: transfer RNA, 69 nt
Filed under: Cyrtonotula maculosa
Lineage: Eukaryota; Metazoa; Arthropoda; Insecta; Blattodea; Blaberidae
Description: tRNA-Gln
Source: RNAcentral